GACUCUCGGCAACGGAUAUCUUGGCUCUCGCAUCGAUGAAGAACGUAGCGAAAUGCGAUACUUGGUGUGAAUUGCAGAAUCCCGCGAACCAUCGAGUCUUUGAACGCAAGUUGCGCCCGAGGCAUUUAUGUCGAGGGCACGCCUGCCUGGUCAUCACGCAUCG
Molecule: ribosomal RNA, 163 nt
Filed under: Genlisea pallida
Lineage: Eukaryota; Viridiplantae; Streptophyta; Magnoliopsida; Lamiales; Lentibulariaceae
Description: 5.8S rRNA
Rfam family: 5.8S ribosomal RNA
About the family: 5.8S ribosomal RNA (5.8S rRNA) is a component of the large subunit of the eukaryotic ribosome.
Source: RNAcentral